CAAUUCUAUGGAACACCCACCUCGACGGCGACUAGCACUGGCGCGACGUCAAGAACGGCGAAGAUCCACGCUCGCCCGGCCUCCUCACGAUGCAACGGCAGCAACCGUAGGUUCGAACGGCUCUGCGGUGCGACGUCGACGGCGAAAUCGGCUCCGCGGCGGCGUCCCUCGCGUGCUUCCUUGGUACGGCCGAACGAAAGAGAAAAGGAGAGAAGAGAGGAGAUAAACUCCUCUCUCUCUCUUCCCUGCAUGCAUAAAAGAGGGGGGGAGGUGAUGCCACAUGGCAUUACACAUACUCACACAUGUGCACUCACACACACACACACACGUACCCUCACACACACACUUAUAUAUAUAUACUAAGUGUAGGGAUACUAGUAUACUACAUCCUCCCCCACUACAAAAAGUUUCGUCCGCGAAACUGAACGUACCUCUACUCAAGCAUCAAACAAGUAGGGAUAGGCUUCCCUCAUCACCGUCUCAGACUCCCAAGUCGCCUCCCGCUCAUCAUGAUUACUCCACUGCACUUUCACAUACGGGAUGACCCGGUUGCGCAAUUCUUUCGUCUCCCGAGCAAGAAUCCGCAACGGUCGCUCCUCGUAUCUCAGAUCCUCGCCAAUCUCAAGUGGAGUGAAGUCAAUCACGUGAGAGGGAUCGAAGACGUACCUCCUCAAUGCUGAGACGUGGAAAACAUCAUGGAUGCCGGCAAGUCGCGGGGGAAGAGCUAUCCUGUAAGCCACCGGUCCGAUACGCUCCAAUACCUCGAAAGGGCCAACAAACCGUGGACUAAGCUUUCCACGUACUCCAAAUCUGCGUAUCCCUCGGGACGGCGAGACUUUGAGGAAAACAUGAUCUCCAAUCUGAAACUCCAAGUCUCGUCUCCUGGUAUCGGCGUAGCUCCUCUGUCGGCUCUGUGCUGUCAAAAGGUGUCGUCGAACGACUCUCACCUUUUCCUCAGCCUCAAGUAGAAUCUCCGGCUCAAGUGUCCUCCGCUCACCCACAUCACUUCAAAACAGGGGGGAUCGACAUCUGCGUCCAUACAACGCCUCANCCGAACGAAAGAGAAAAGGAGAGAAGAGAGGAGAUAAACUCCUCUCUCUCUCUUCCCUACAUGCAUAAAAGAGGGGGGAAGGUGAUGCCACAUGGCAUUACACAUACUCACACAUGUGCACUCACACACACACACACACGUACCCUCACACACACACUUAUAUAUAUAUACUAAGUGUAGGGAUACUAGUAUACUACA
RNAcentral lists this long non-coding RNA (1249 nucleotides) under Ananas comosus (pineapple). RNAcentral's name for it is "long non-coding RNA (ACOM_LNC011652)". Lineage: Eukaryota; Viridiplantae; Streptophyta; Magnoliopsida; Poales; Bromeliaceae. The record is from RNAcentral.